UGCCAGCAGCCGCGGUAAUACGGAGGGUGCAAGCGUUGUUCGGAUUUACUGGGCGUAAAGAGCGCGUAGGCGGCUUCAUAAGUUAAGGGUGAAAUCCCGGGGCUUAACUCCGGAACUGCUCUUAAAACUGUGGAGCUAGAGACAAUCAGAGGUGGGUGGAAUUCCAGGUGUAGAGGUGAAAUUCGUAGAUAUCUGGAGGAACACCGGUGGCGAAGGCGGCCCACUGGGAUUGUUCUGACGCUGAGGCGCGAAAGCGUGGGGAGCAAACAGGAUUAGAUA
Molecule: ribosomal RNA, 279 nt
Filed under: uncultured bacterium
Lineage: Bacteria
Description: partial 16S ribosomal RNA
Rfam family: Bacterial small subunit ribosomal RNA
Source: RNAcentral